GAGGUCUCGAGCGUUGUUCGGAUUCAUUGGGCGUAAAGGGUGCGUAGGUGGCGCUGUAAGUCGGGUGUGAAAUCCUGAGGCUUAACCUCGGAACUGCAUUCGAUACUGCGGUGCUUGAGGACUGGAGAGGAGACUGGAAUUCAUGGUGUAGCAGUGAAAUGCGUAGAGAUCAUGAGGAAGACCAGUGGCGAAGGCGGGUCUCUGGACAGUUCCUGACACUGAGGCACGAAGGCCAGGGGAGCAAACGGG
This 249-nucleotide ribosomal RNA is filed under the name uncultured bacterium. RNAcentral's name for it is "partial 16S ribosomal RNA". It matches the Rfam family "Bacterial small subunit ribosomal RNA", at positions 528 to 776 of the family's 1533-position model. The record is from RNAcentral.